This 518-nucleotide ribosomal RNA is filed under the name uncultured Acinetobacter sp. RNAcentral describes it as "bacterial SSU rRNA". It matches the Rfam family "Bacterial small subunit ribosomal RNA", at positions 505 to 1022 of the family's 1533-position model. Lineage: Bacteria; Pseudomonadati; Pseudomonadota; Gammaproteobacteria; Moraxellales; Moraxellaceae. The record is from RNAcentral.
GUGCCAGCCGCUGCGGUAAUACAGAGGGUGCGAGCGUUAAUCGGAUUUACUGGGCGUAAAGCGUGCGUAGGCGGCUUAUUAAGUCGGAUGUGAAAUCCCCGAGCUUAACUUGGGAAUUGCAUUCGAUACUGGUGAGCUAGAGUAUGGGAGAGGAUGGUAGAAUUCCAGGUGUAGCGGUGAAAUGCGUAGAGAUCUGGAGGAAUACCGAUGGCGAAGGCAGCCAUCUGGCCUAAUACUGACGCUGAGGUACGAAAGCAUGGGGAGCAAACAGGAUUAGAUACCCUGGUAGUCCAUGCCGUAAACGAUGUCUACUAGCCGUUGGGGCCUUUGAGGCUUUAGUGGCGCAGCUAACGCGAUAAGUAGACCGCCUGGGGGAUACGGUCGCAAGACUAAAACUCAAAUGAAUUGACGGGGGCCCGCACAAGCGGUGGAGCAUAUGGUUUAAUUCGAUGCAACGCGAAGAACCUUACCUGGCCUUGACAUACUAGAAACUUUCCAGAGAUGGAUUGGUGCCUUAC